Molecule: unclassified non-coding RNA, 449 nt
Filed under: Hevea brasiliensis (rubber tree)
Lineage: Eukaryota; Viridiplantae; Streptophyta; Magnoliopsida; Malpighiales; Euphorbiaceae
Source: RNAcentral
GGAUGAUUUGCAAUCAAAUAAAAACUCACUAUCUACCGGCACCAGUGAUGUGUUUCUUUUCUUCUUUGUGAAAUGAGUUGAAUUAGAGCAAGCAGUCAGAUUAAAAAAAGCAAUCAAAUCUAACGGCAAGAAGGAGAGGUAGAUGGAAAUGGGUGGGUUUGGUUGAUGGGUUCUGAUUUUGGUUUUGAUGCUUGAUGAAUUGAAUUGGGUUCGUGCUUGAUGAUCUUCUUCUAAGUGCGUUGAUGACUUGAAUUGGGUGCUUUGUUUUAUUUUAUUUUGUUUUCUCUUUUUAUCAUAGAUGGGUUUGCCGUACGAGGGAAAGAGUUGGCAUAGGAAUUCUUUAAUUUAGUUGUAAAAUUUUAUGAAUUAAUUAAUUAAUUAAUUUUAACAUUAUUUAGAAACUUCAAAGUAAUUUAUCCCAAUCAAUUACCUUAAUUAAAGAAUUUAUU